Molecule: ribosomal RNA, 419 nt
Filed under: uncultured bacterium
Lineage: Bacteria
Description: bacterial SSU rRNA
Rfam family: Bacterial small subunit ribosomal RNA
Source: RNAcentral
UCGAGAAUAUUGGUCAAUGGGGGAAACCCUGAACCAGCGACGCCGCGUGCUUGAAGAAGUUCUUCGGAAUGUAAAGAGCUUUUAUCUGGGAAGAAUCUCGAGCAAUCGAGAUGACGGUACCAGAAGAAUAAGGGGUGUCUAAACUCGUGCCAGCAGAAGCGGUAAUACGAGUACCCCAAGCGUUAUCCGGAUUUAUUGGGCGUAAAGAGUCUGUAGGCGUUUUGUUAAGUUUUCUGUUAAAGGCCUAGGGCUUAACCUUAGGAAUGCAGAAAAAACUGGCAGAAUUGAGGGCAUUAGGGGCUGGUGGAACGGUCGGUGUAGGGGUGAAAUCCGUUGAUAUCGACCGGAACCCUAAAAGCGAAGGCAUCCAGCUGGGAUGACCCUGACGCUGAGAGACGAAAGCGUGGGUAGCAAAAAGG